AGUUAAUUAGCUUAAUAAAAGCUUAUAUUUUGAAAGUAUAAGAAAAAGGUUGACCCCUUUAUUAACUU
RNAcentral lists this transfer RNA (68 nucleotides) under Dipetalogaster maximus. RNAcentral describes it as "tRNA-Ser". It matches the Rfam family "tRNA". From Rfam's summary of the family: Transfer RNA (tRNA) molecules are approximately 80 nucleotides in length. Their secondary structure includes four short double-helical elements and three loops (D, anti-codon, and T loops). Lineage: Eukaryota; Metazoa; Arthropoda; Insecta; Hemiptera; Reduviidae. The record is from RNAcentral.